GACGAACGCUGGCGGCGUGCUUAACACAUGCAAGUCGAACGGAAAGGCCUUUUCGGAGGUACUCGAGUGGCGAACGGGUGAGUAACACGUGGGUGAUCUGCCCCGCACUCUGGGAUAAGCCUGGGAAACUGGGUCUAAUACCGGAUAGGACCGCACUUUAGUGUGUGUGGUGGAAAGUUUUUUCGGUGUAGGAUGAGCCCGCGGCCUAUCAGCUUGUUGGUGGGGUAAUGGCCUACCAAGGCGGCGACGGGUAGCCGGACUGAGAGGUUGGUCGGCCACAUUGGGACUGAGAUACGGCCCAGACUCCUACGGGAGGCAGCAGUGGGGAAUAUUGCACAAUGGGCGCAAGCCUGAUGCAGCGACGCCGCGUGGGGGAUGACGGCCUUCGGGUUGUAAACUCCUUUCGCCAGGGACGAAGCGUUUUGUGACGGUACCUGGAGAAGAAGCACCGGCUAACUACGUG
This 463-nucleotide ribosomal RNA is filed under the name uncultured bacterium. RNAcentral's name for it is "partial 16S ribosomal RNA". It matches the Rfam family "Bacterial small subunit ribosomal RNA", at positions 28 to 507 of the family's 1533-position model. The record is from RNAcentral.